UGGGGAAUAUUGGACAAUGGGCGAAAGCCUGAUCCAGCCAUGCCGCGUGUGUGAAGAAGGCCUUUUGGUUGUAAAGCACUUUAAGCGAGGAGGAGGCUACUUGGAUUAAUACUCUAGGAUAGUGGACGUUACUCGCAGAAUAAGCACCGGCUAACUCUGUGCCAGCAGCCGCGGUAAUACAGAGGGUGCGAGCGUUAAUCGGAUUUACUGGGCGUAAAGCGUGCGUAGGCGGCUUUUUAAGUCGGAUGUGAAAUCCCUGAGCUUAACUUAGGAAUUGCAUUCGAUACUGGGAAGCUAGAGUAUGGGAGAGGAUGGUAGAAUUCCAGGUGUAGCGGUGAAAUGCGUAGAGAUCUGGAGGAAUACCGAUGGCGAAGGCAGCCAUCUGGCCUAAUACUGACGCUGAGGUACGAAAGCAUGGGGAGCAAACAGGAUUAGAUACCCUGGUAGUCCAUGCCGUAAACGAUGUCUACUAGCCGUUGGGGCCUUUGAGGCUUUAGUGGCGCAGCCAACGCGAUAAGUAGACCGCCUGGGGAGUACGGUCGCAAGACUAAAACUCAAAUGAAUUGACGGGGGCCCGCACAAGCGGUGGAGCAUGUGGUUUAAUUCGAUGC
RNAcentral lists this ribosomal RNA (611 nucleotides) under uncultured Acinetobacter sp. RNAcentral describes it as "bacterial SSU rRNA". It matches the Rfam family "Bacterial small subunit ribosomal RNA", at positions 355 to 957 of the family's 1533-position model. Lineage: Bacteria; Pseudomonadati; Pseudomonadota; Gammaproteobacteria; Moraxellales; Moraxellaceae. The record is from RNAcentral.